This 2146-nucleotide ribosomal RNA is filed under the name Triticum aestivum (bread wheat). Its description in RNAcentral is "partial small subunit ribosomal RNA". Lineage: Eukaryota; Viridiplantae; Streptophyta; Magnoliopsida; Poales; Poaceae. The record is from RNAcentral.
CAGGAUAACCCGUCGCACUUUGUUUUCUCGGUUUCUCCAGUGGUGUGCGGUGAGAUCGUGAAACACUAUCACUUUGCUUUCUCCACUCAUGACUUGAUUCCUCCGCCAGCAUCCUCCUCUGUAGCACGACGCCUCCUCUGCAGCACGCCGUUCUCCGGCCACGGCGAUGCCCGGCGGCCCCUCUCCCCCAACCCACACCACCAACACAACCACCACGGCCUCGCCCCGUCUCGUCCUAUCCCCACCAUAGCCCCGCCCCGCCGGCCCUUACCCCCACGACGACCUCUCCCCGCCGGCCCUUAUCCACACAACGGCCUCUCCCCGCUAGCUCCUGUCACCACCGCGGCCUUGCCUCGCCGCCAACCCCGCUCAUCUUCCCUAGAUCAGCUCUGCCCCCGCCAUCGUACUGCCCAGAGCAGAUCGAGAUGCGAGCUGCUGUACAUGAUGUGGGAGGAGGCAUCUCGAAUUGGACCGAGAUUCAGUCCAUUGUGCCCGCCGUAAUCAUCGCCCCCCGUGCUUGGCUCACACAGUCGCUCCGGAAAGAGUUCGCAGCUUGUGUACGUGCUCGGUUGCUGAAGGUUGUAAUGUCGCAUUAUUACCGGCACUAAGUAACAAAGAGUUCCAGGGUCACAAGCAGGCGCCUUCGCCACAUUGUCAUUCAUUUGUGAGAUGUUUCUAUUUCUCUAUGUUGGCAUGGAUGAUAUAGAGUAGUGGAAGAAUGUUAGUGAAACACAUACAGGCUUGAAGUGGCGGUCGUAACACAGUCGGUUGGGAGGACUCAAUGUCAGAGUCGAUAUUAUGGACAUUUUCCUUGUUAGAACCAACACUGUCUGGUGUGCUCUUAAUGAAUUUGGAGCAUGAAGUGGAGUUUGAUCACUCAUUAUCAUAUCAACAGCUGGGGUGUGUCGUUGUGGGGUGACAGCAGACUGCGCACUGGGCCUGUCCACAAUGUCAAAACAUGUCCAAAAGAAGACUUGAUUAAUACGACUUUACUUGUGAUUCAUGAAAUGUAUGAGAAAAUGGAGUAACCAGGCGACAUGGCCACGGGUGGCUUUGAUAGAGUGUUGGUUACAUUUAUAAUAGCAGACAUAGCUUUCUUAAAUCCCUUGCCUCCUGUCAUAAUUUUUUAGUAUUGCAUCCCUUUUUACCUCUCCCAUUCCCUUUGUCUCUUUAGUUCUUUUGGAUCUGUUUUUUGACCUGUGAGGCAACGAUAUAUUUUGGAUUUACAAGAUUGAAGUACGUAAGAGUACAUGAUAUAUGUAUUUACCUGAAUUGUCGUUGCUUGUCAGGUCCUGAAAGGGAGUACGUGCCCCACUAUGCUCAAAGGAUGCCAUAUUGUCAACUCAGUUUGUCAUGCAGAUCAUGAUGUACUGUCAGAAAGUAGUCAUAUGUCCUCGAGAUGCUACGGGCCACACGGGGUGAUGACACCGCAGGUAGGGCAGCACGCCGUUGUCGAGGACGACCACCGGGUGGAGGACGUCGCGACCACCAGGGACGGCAGCGGUGUGGCGAUGAAGGCGGGGCGAGGAAAGGUUGGGCAGCAAGGCGGGUCGAGGAAUGACGUGCACCGGGGCGGAGGACAUUGCGGCCACGAGGGGCUAGGGCGGCGUGGCGACGACGGAGGGGCGAGGAGAGGUAGGGGAGCAAGGCGGGUCGAGGAUGUCUACCGGGUCGAGGACAUCGCAUACACCAGCGCUGAUCACGGCGGUUCCUGGCGUGGUGGCGGCGUAGAUCGUGGAGGUGCUGUUUAAUUCCCAGGAGGUGUCAUCGUGGGGUUGUGUAACAUCCUGAAUGGGGGAGUCUGCCGGCAAAACAUUUGUUGUGAACCGUUGAUUUGAUUGUAGUAUGGUUGAUGUAACGUGGACAGUUGGAUGGUAUCAAGUGGGUCUGAUCGGACGUGGGGGGUUAUCCCGUGUGCACUUUCUGGUGUGGAUGUAGGGGAAGUCAUGUUUGGUCUUUUAAUAGUAGUAAGAUAAAGAUUAGUCGCGAAGAAACAUGGUCGUCGUCGUAGUAACGAUUUUCAUUGCCGGACGUAGCAAGCGGAGACGACAAUUGCAUCAAAAAAUGUCAUCGUCGUCAAUGACGGUUGUAACUUCCCGUGCAGGUCAAAACAUAUACAUCGCUGGUUGUAGCAAACAACCUCAUC